Molecule: non-coding RNA, 19 nt
Filed under: Arabidopsis thaliana (thale cress)
Lineage: Eukaryota; Viridiplantae; Streptophyta; Magnoliopsida; Brassicales; Brassicaceae
Source: RNAcentral
UAGCCAAGGAUGACUUGCC